GACGAACGCUGGCGGCGUGCUUAACACAUGCAAGUCGAGCGGUAAGGCCCUUUCGGGGGUACACGAGCGGCGAACGGGUGAGUAACACGUGGGUGACCUGCCCUUAGCUCUGGGAUAAGCCUGGGAAACUGGGUCUAAUACCGGAUAUGACUCCAUGACGCAUGUUGUGGGGUGGAAAGCCUUGUGCGGCUAGGGAUGGGCCCGCGGCCUAUCAGCUUGUUGGUGGGGUGANGGGCCUACCAAGGCGACGACGGGUAGCCGGCCUGAGAGGGCGACCGGCCACACUGGGACUGAGACACGGCCCAGACUCCUACGGGAGGCAGCAGUGGGGAAUCUUGCGCAAUGGGCGAAAGCCUGACGCAGCGACGCCGCGUGAGGGAUGACGGCCU
RNAcentral lists this ribosomal RNA (389 nucleotides) under uncultured bacterium. RNAcentral describes it as "bacterial SSU rRNA". It matches the Rfam family "Bacterial small subunit ribosomal RNA", at positions 28 to 417 of the family's 1533-position model. The record is from RNAcentral.